CACUGAACAUUGAGCCUUGAUGUGUAGGAUAGGUGGGAGGCUUUGAAGUGUGGACGCCAGUCUGCAUGGAGCCGACCUUGAAAUACCACCCUUUAAUGUUUGAUGUUCUAACGUGGACCCGUAAUCCGGGUUGCGGACAGUGUCUGGUGGGUAGUUUGACUGGGGCGGUCUCCUCCUAAAGAGUAACGGAGGAGCACGAAGGUUGGCUAAUCCUGGUCGGACAUCAGGAGGUUAGUGCAAUGGCAUAAGCCAGCUUGACUGCGAGCGUGACGGCGCGAGCAGGUGCGAAAGCAGGUCAUAGUGAUCCGGUGGUUCUGAAUGGAAGGGCCAUCGCUCAACGGAUAAAAGGUACUCCGGGGAUAACAGGCUGAUACCGCCCAAGAGUUCAUAUCGACGGCGGUGUUUGGCACCUCGAUGUCGGCUCAUCACAUCCUGGGGCUGAAGUAGGUCCCAAGGGUAUGGCUGUUCGCCAUUUAAAGUGGUACGCGAGCUGGGUUUAGAACGUCGUGAGACAGUUCGGUCCCUAUCUGCCGUGGGCGCUGGAGAACUGAGGGGGGCUGCUCCUAGUACGAGAGGACCGGAGUGGACGCAUCACUGGUGUUCGGGUUGUCAUGCCAAUGGCACUGCCCGGUAGCUAAAUGCGGAAGAGAUAAGUGCUGAAAGCAUCUAAGCACGAAACUUGCCCCGAGAUGAGUUCUCCCUGACUCCUUGAGAGUCCUGAAGGAACGUUGAAGACGACGACGUUGAUAGGCCGGGUGUGUAAGCGCAGCGAUGCGUUGAGCUAACCGGUACUAAUGAACCGUGAGG
Molecule: ribosomal RNA, 807 nt
Filed under: Escherichia coli
Lineage: Bacteria; Pseudomonadati; Pseudomonadota; Gammaproteobacteria; Enterobacterales; Enterobacteriaceae
Description: partial 23S ribosomal RNA
Rfam family: Bacterial large subunit ribosomal RNA
Source: RNAcentral